Non-coding RNA from Potamilus streckersoni, 73 nucleotides. The record is from the annotation of a GenBank genome assembly. Lineage: Eukaryota; Metazoa; Mollusca; Bivalvia; Unionida; Unionidae.
GCUCCGGUGGCCUAGUAGUUAGAGCAUCUGCCUCAGAUGUGGGAGGUCGUGGGUUUGAUCCCCCGCCGAGUCA